CCUACGGGUGGCAGCAGUGAGGAAUAUUGGUCAAUGGACGGAAGCCUGAACCAGCCAUGCCGCGUGCAGGAUGACGGCUCUAUGAGUCGUAAACUGCUUUUGUACGGGAACAAUAGUUAUUACGCGUCGGGAUUUGAAUGUAUCGUACGAAUAAGGAUCGGCUAACUCCGUGCCAGCAGCCGCGGUAAUACGGAGGAUUCGAGCGUUUUCCGGAUUUAUUGGGUUUAAAGGGUGCGUAGGCGGUUGGAUAAGUUAGAGGUCAAAUGUCGGGGCUUAACCCCGGGCCUGCCUGUGAUACUGUUCGGCUAGAGUACGGGUGCAGCAGGCGGAAUGAGUGGUGUAGCGGUGAAAUGCUUAGAUAUUACGCAGAACACCGAUGGCGAAGGCAGCUUGCUAAUCCACGACUGACGCUGAUGCACGAAAGCGUGGGGAGCGAACAGGAUUAGAUACCCUAGUAGUC
Molecule: ribosomal RNA, 460 nt
Filed under: uncultured bacterium
Lineage: Bacteria
Description: partial 16S ribosomal RNA
Rfam family: Bacterial small subunit ribosomal RNA
Source: RNAcentral